UUGGCCACCCGGCUAAGCUCAUUUCAGCCAAUCAGCUUGGGAGCUGCCAUUUACCUCACAGAGGGAGAAAAAGGUAUCUGCUGUCAUAGCAACGAGUGGCUUUGCUCUGAUCAUGUUUGGAUCCGUUAGCAUAAUGAAAGACACCGGCUUGCUUUUUAGAUGAUUAAUCUUUUCCCCUGUGAACCUACUUGAAUACAUUAGCAAAACAAGUAUGAAAAAUUUGUUUAUCCCAAGACAAUCAUUAGAAAAUUACCUGCAAGAGUAAUUCUCAUUAGGGCAGAGUUGGUGAAUAGCAGAGCAUAUGGUGAAUGAAAGCAGCAAGAAGCAAUAAAAUCUCCAAACUGCAACAGCAUUCUGGGAUAGAAGAGCACCAAGUCUAACUGCAGACAAACCAGUCCAAUCAUCAUUUAACCUCACUACCAUCAUGCAUUGUCCAGUCCAGGUCCAAAGACACAUUAUAAUGACAGACACUAACCAGGCUGUUCUAUGGAAGUAACCAUAAAUUGAUCAGAAAAAAUUAAGAGCAUCCAGAUGCUGUGGAGAAAAACUGCAGAAGAAACCUUUUCUAUUUCUGUAAUUCUUAGGAAGGAAAACCCUGUUUCUUGAUGGAGUAUUACCAUCAGCAACAACCACUGAAUGGGAAGCAACAGACGGACACAAUAGCAUCUCCAGAGUGACCUCAGGUUUUCAUCCAUAUGAAACAGUUAAUCCUCAUUUGUUUAUUUUUUUCCUAUACUAUCUACAGUUACCAGAAUUCACCACCAUAUGUGAAGGUCAAGUCCACUGGUAAAGUAAUUCAUAUAGUUAUCCGAAUUGUAUCCAAGCUAUAAAUUAAUGUGACAUAAACUGCCUACAGCAUUUCUUCUAUUUCUAAUGUUAUAUGCAGACAAACCUACCCUGGUAUACUGAUAAUUAAAAUAAAAAUCUAUAUGCACCUCCUCUGAGAACACACACACCAAACAGGAAAUAAAUUAGUUCCAGGAUGGGACCUGCUGAGGGACACACAGAAAUGAUUUGCAGCAAAUGCUAACUUCAAGCUUGGAGUGGAAAAGAUAAGUAUACUUUACUUCACAAUUGCCACCUGAAUCACCAACACAGAGAGAAAAGUGCCAAAGGAGGGAAAAAGCUGCAAAAUUUCAUCAGAGUCCUGAUGUUCCCAAUCUUACACAAAGCAACCAGAAGAGCUGCAGGCUGAUCUCCUAAUGCUCUGAAAAUUAAGACUUCCAGAAAUCGCAUGCGAACAUAUUGUUUUCCAGAACUUGCUGUUUCCUUAAAAAAUCUCAAGCUCGUGGUGAAAUACAAUGCACGGUAUCCAAACAGGCUUCUACAUUUUGUACCCAGAAUACGCUUAUUUAUUUUGAAGCCACAGACUGAUCAUCAGUGUUGCCCUCAAGAAGAGUCAAAGAAGAUUAAACUUCCCCCCCCACCACCACCUUGUGUUGCAGCUAACAGUUUGAUUCAUGAACUUAAUACCAUAAACAAACUUGAACAACUCACCCUGCAGACUUCGCUGGAAAUGAGCUAAUAUGCACCUGCUGAAGAUUCAACCCAUGAGGAGGUAGUCUCCUUGGAAAAUGCUCCUGAUGAACUGAAAUACAAUGGAAAUGGUCACUAAGAAAGCUUACAUUAAUAGAGGUACUGUGAGAGGUAGCUUAAGACCUGGAUUUUGCCACACUCACACACACACACACGAGACAAAUCAACCAUCCAAAGAAGGAACAAUCAAGAGCGCACAGAGUAUGAGCAGUUCAGGAUGCCCAACCUGGAUAGAAGAUUCUCUAUUAAAGAAAUCAAAACUUCACAGUCUAAGGCUACACUACACAGAUUUGAUACAGUAGUGGUUAUGUGCACUGGAGGCUCCAUUUGCUCAAGGGACUUCAAUCAGAGAAGUAAGGUAGAAGUAAAUUCCUACAACACAGACAGAUAAUAACAUAUAACAUUUGGGACCAGAUGUUUUUAAAUAUCUAUACUGAAAAGAUGAAGGCUAUUAGUUUGAUGAGAUCCAAACCUCCAUAAAUCCCGUAAGAACAAGUAGGAUGAAAACAAACCUCUUCCAAAUGAGCAGACUUCUCAGCGCCAUGCAGCAGGUGAGCUCUAUCAGAAGC
This is a long non-coding RNA of Numida meleagris (helmeted guineafowl), 2105 nucleotides long. RefSeq lists it as uncharacterized. The record is from RefSeq and is a predicted model, not a curated record. The transcript is spliced from 7 exons. Lineage: Eukaryota; Metazoa; Chordata; Aves; Galliformes; Numididae.